This 117-nucleotide ribosomal RNA is filed under the name Pyrinomonadaceae bacterium. Lineage: Bacteria; Pseudomonadati; Acidobacteriota; Blastocatellia; Blastocatellales; Pyrinomonadaceae. The record is from RNAcentral.
UCCGGUGAUUAUGUCAGCAGGGACACACCCGUUCCCAUCCCGAACACGGAAGUUAAGCCUGUCGGAGCCGAUGGUACUGCGCGGGUAGCUGCGUGGGAGAGUAGGUAGUUGCCGGAU